RNAcentral lists this ribosomal RNA (232 nucleotides) under uncultured bacterium. Its description in RNAcentral is "partial 16S ribosomal RNA". It matches the Rfam family "Bacterial small subunit ribosomal RNA", at positions 99 to 334 of the family's 1533-position model. The record is from RNAcentral.
CGGACGGGUGAGUAAUGUCUGGGAAACUGCCCGAUGGAAGGGGGUAACUACUGGAAACGGUAGCUAAUACCGCAUAAUGUCUACGGACCAAAGCGGGGGACCUCCGGGCCUCGCGCCAUCAGAUGAACCCAUAUGGGAUUAGCUAGUAGGUAAGGUAACGGCUUACCUAGGCGACGAUCCCUAGCUGGUCUGAGAGGAUGAUCAGCCACACUGGGACUGAGACACGGUCCAG